UACGUAGGGUGCAAGCGUUGUCCGGAAUUAUUGGGCGUAAAGAGCUCGUAGGCGGUCUGUCGCGUCUGCUGUGAAAACUCGGGGCUUAACCCCGGGCCUGCAGUGGGUACGGGCAGACUAGAGUGCGGUAGGGGAGACUGGAAUUCCUGGUGUAGCGGUGAAAUGCGCAGAUAUCAGGAGGAACACCGGUGGCGAAGGCGGGUUGCUGGGCCGACACUGACGCUGAUGCGCGAAAGCGUGGGGAGCGAACAGG
Molecule: ribosomal RNA, 253 nt
Filed under: uncultured bacterium
Lineage: Bacteria
Description: partial 16S ribosomal RNA
Rfam family: Bacterial small subunit ribosomal RNA
Source: RNAcentral